UUCUUUUGGGUUUCGGUUGGACUUAGGUAGUAUCCGGCCCAAAAUAAUAAAAAUAACGGCCCGAUGGCCUUUCUUCUCCCAAAUCAGAAACCGAAUUUUGCACUUUGGCCCCUAAUCUUUGGAGUAGUUUUCACUGCGGCCCAGAACAUUUUAAAUUCCUUUCAACUCGGUCCUUAAAUUAAUUUCACUUUGGUCCCUGAAUUUUAUCUUUCAUUUAAUUUUGACCCCUG
RNAcentral lists this long non-coding RNA (230 nucleotides) under Coffea arabica (coffee). Its description in RNAcentral is "long non-coding RNA (CARA_LNC004642)". The record is from RNAcentral. Lineage: Eukaryota; Viridiplantae; Streptophyta; Magnoliopsida; Gentianales; Rubiaceae.